UGGGGAAUAUUGCACAAUGGGGGAAACCCUGAUGCAGCGACGCCGCGUGAGCGAAGAAGGUUUUCGAAUCGUAAAGCUCUGUCCUAUGAGAAGAUAAUGACGGUAUCAUAGGAGGAAGCCCCGGCUAAAUACGUGCCAGCAGCCGCGGUAAUACGUAUGUUGCGAGCGUUAUCCGGAAUUAUUGGGCUUAAAGGGCAUCUAGGCGGUAAGACAAGUUGAAGGUGAAAACCUGUGGCUCAACCAUAGGCUUGCCUACAAAACUGUUGAACUAGAGUACUGGAAAGGUGGGUGGAACUACACGAGUAGAGGUGAAAUUCGUAGAUAUGUGUAGGAAUGCCGAUGAUGAAGAUAACUCACUGGACAGAAACUGACGCUGAAGUGCGAAAGCUAGGGGAGCAAACAGG
Molecule: ribosomal RNA, 404 nt
Filed under: Verrucomicrobiota bacterium
Lineage: Bacteria; Pseudomonadati; Verrucomicrobiota
Description: Verrucomicrobia bacterium partial 16S ribosomal RNA
Rfam family: Bacterial small subunit ribosomal RNA
Source: RNAcentral